AAGAACCUGGCACAUGGUAGCUGUUCAAUAAAAGGUAUUACUGUUACCAUUUAUGUCCUUUCCCAAAGACACUAUUUCUGAUUUUGCAGCCCAUCUCUCAUCUCUAGAUUCUCUAUUCUUUCUUGACUUUCCAUCUUAAUUUAAGGGACCCAACCAAGACUGAAGGAAAAUAUGACCAAACUCUACCAGGAGGGAACACUUUAUAGAUGAUACCACCCUUUUCCCUCUUUUAGAAAAUGGUUCCAAGCUUGGAAGCUUUCUAUUAAGCCAAACCCUCUUUUGCUCACAUGUAGUGCUCCAUCAAACUCUUGCCAAAGAUUUGUUGAUGUGCCCAGGAUGGUGAAUUGUUCAAACACAAAGCAAUUUCCACUUGAGAACUGCUUAUUGCUUUCUCCUCAUCUUUUUUUUUUCCUUCUUCAGCCACCCCCAACAGCAUAUAGAAGUUCCUGGGCCAGGGAUCUGGACCUGGGACCUACGACCCAACUGCAACAACACCAGAUCCUUAACCCACUGAGCCACAACAGGAACUCCUCCUCACCUCUUUUGAAUACUUUGUUAUUUUCAUUGACUAAAAUAAUACUCAAUAGUAUAUGCUACAGUAAAAAACUUUUCAAAAAAUACGGAAUUUAUAAAAUACAAGUCAAAUGCACAUCAUCUUCAUUUUCCUCUCAUUUCUCUUUGGCAAAUGGUAUUAACACCAUGGUGAGUAUCUGUCUAGAUUCUUCUUUCUAAAUCAGCAUUUUCCUCCAUAAAGGAUCAGAGACAAACAAGCCUAAGGGAUAUUCGUCUGGUCUGGAAAAACACAGUGUCCCUGUGCACCAUAAUACCUUUGUACUUUAGUAAAGAACAGCAGCUGUGUGUACCAUAAAGAUUCCCCAUGACCCAGAAACGAAACAAUUAUUACCUGAAACCUUUAGAACCUGCAUUGCUAACUAGUUGACUAUCACACACUCUCCUUAGGGUGGCAGCUUGCUUUCUGAUAAGCUACGAGGUCCAUACCAGAUCAUGCCCAGCCUGGUGGAUGCCUGGAAGUGCUGCCUCUCCGGUUCCACCUUUACAGAGAGUAGCUGGCAGGGCUGAGCAGAGUAGUCAUCCAAGACCCUAAGAGGGCACACACCCGCCCACUCCCCUGAGUGUUUCUGCCUCUCCCACCACCCCUGGUGAGGGGAGAGAUGGACAGAAAAGAGAAGCUUGGGGGUUGCACUUACAGGUUCACUUCUACAUGGCCAGGAGCAGUUCCUGAGGCUUGCCUUUGACUGAGGUCCCUCAAGGAUACUGUAAGAUAUUUAUCCCUGUGCCAAGCUCCUACCAGAGUGGCCUUGGCUUUUCAACACUUCAGGUCUCUAAACAACAACCUCUUUGUUGUUUAGAGACCUGAAGUGUUUAACAACAACAACAACAAAACCCACCAAUGGCUAUCACCUAGGUAACAGCAACAGGCACACUCUUAAGCACUUCCCUGACAUUACCUCAUAGACUCUUCACCACAGCUCUAAGCAGGAGGUACCCUUUGAACCUUCAUGUUAACUGAGGUACAGGGAGGUCAAGUGACCUGCCUAAGGUCACACAGCCAGGAAGAUACAGUGUGGGGAUUUAAUGCCCAACACCCAGGCUUGGGCCUUCUCUGAGUGGACAUUCCAAAGUUCCCAAACAUUGUGGUGAGCUGUAGUGUAGUUCGCAGAUGCUGCUUGGAUCCCACGUUGCUGUGGCUCUGGCGUAGGCUGGCGGCUACAUCUCUGAUUUGACCCCCAGCCUGGGAACCUCCAUAUACCACGGGAGCAGCCCUAGAAAAGGCAAAAAUCAUAAAAAAUAAAAUUAAAUAAAUAAUUAAAAAAUAAAAAAAUGAGAGAAAUUUAAAAAUUAAACUAUUGGUGUUUCCCUGGUGGUUCAGUAGUAACAAACAUGCCUAGCAUCCAUGAAGACUCCUGUAUCAUCCCUGGCCUCAUUAAGUGGAUCAGGAAUCUGGCAUUGCCCGGAGCUGUGGUAUAGGUCAUGGAUGCAAUUCAAAUCCCCCAUUGCUGUGGCUGUGGUGUAGGCUGGCAGCUGCAGCUCCAUUGGAACCGUAGCCUGGGAACUUUCAUAUGCUGUGGG
RNAcentral lists this long non-coding RNA (2091 nucleotides) under Sus scrofa (pig). RNAcentral describes it as "lncRNA (ENSSSCG00040070699.1)". Lineage: Eukaryota; Metazoa; Chordata; Mammalia; Artiodactyla; Suidae. The record is from RNAcentral.